This is a long non-coding RNA of Sus scrofa (pig), 3991 nucleotides long. RefSeq lists it as uncharacterized. NCBI's taxonomy places the organism in Eukaryota, Metazoa, Chordata, Mammalia, Artiodactyla, Suidae. The record is from RefSeq and is a predicted model, not a curated record.
UGGUGAAGUACCACGAGCUUUAUUGUAGAGGCACCAAUACCAGGAGGGUGGGUGGCUCCUGCUCAGAAACCUGGAACUCCCUGAAGGGUUUCCAUGAAGCCAGGUGAGGGAGGGGUUCCCAGGGCAGGUGAUGAGCUUGUGCACAAUUCUCUGAUUGGUUGAUGGUGAUCAGUUGUUAGGUGCUGAAUCAUGCUCAUUGAUCAACAUGUAAUUUCUUCCAUCUGGUAGUGGUUUUAAUUGUUGGAAAAACAACUCAGGAAACGUGCAUCCUAUGCUAUCAUCUAGGUGCUUCAGGGAAGAGCUAAAGCAGGGGAUGUAGGGGAGGGGCCUGUCCUGGGAAGCCCCCAAAGGGUCCUGCUGAGUUAAAAUACAUGUGGCUUUGGUUCAUUUAUUUCUCAGUACCAUGCGGUGGUCCCUUCUCCUGUUGAUAACCAGGUUGUUUCCAUAUCACGAGACACUGACCACCCAUAUAGCAAGGAACUUUCUUCCACCUAAUUUCUCCAGGAGUUUCUCCUAAUAGUGGAAUUGCUGUCUCAUAGAAUGUUCAUUUUCAACCUUACGGUCAGGUUUUAUGAUAUUCCUAAGUCCAGUGGUCAUAAAAACGAAACCGCUAACAUUGUGCCUAUGCGUUUUGGUAAUGAAAGUGCAUCAGAAAUGCAAGAGCAUCAGAACAACAAUGAUGACGAUUAGGAUAUUUGGGCUGGGAUGAGGACUGGUAGAAAUUACAAGAGGAAACUCGUAGCAUUUUGUGUUGUUUGCUACUUAGUCGAAGUAAAGCGCAUAUAUAAAUGCCGACUUAGGAUGACCAACUGUCCUGGCUUGUCCCAGGCUUUAAGGUUGUCUAGGACUGGGGACUUUCAGUGCUAAAACCGGAGUAUCCCAGACCAAUGAAUGGGUGGUCACUCUAUCCCCUAUUUGACCACUUUGGUUCUUUUUGGCGGAUUCCUGAUGGUCUCUGAGAACAAACCCACUCGUAGAAUUAAGAUGAGACAGUAAUUCCAAGACAAAAUAAAAGAAAGAAAAGGGAAUGGAACAGUUGGGGGGAAAGAAAAACCAGGAAUUUUAACUCAGGUGCUGUUCCCAGACACCGACUGGCCUCACCGAAAAUCAACUGGUUGCUUGUGGAAAACACUGAUUUACAGGCUCCUCUGCUCCUUCUCGCCUCACCCAGAGGUUCUCCAUCUUCAGAGAACUUCGCAGAUUGCUGGGACUCGCUGCAGAGACGCAGAGUCAGAGUUUGCAUUUUAAACAAGUCCACGAGUGGUGAAAACGCUGCCGCUUCAGGACUACACUUUGGGAACCACAGGACCGGAGACUCAGAUCAAAGUUCUGUGGUUCACGUAGGACUUCUCUCUCAAGGCCUCUCAAGGCCUCUCCAGGCAGGAUGAAUCCAUGACCUUCGGUGCUUCCUCGCAAGUGGAAAUUACCGCCACCGCAGCACUUUUAUCACACCGCGUUGAAAUGACUUGGUUAAACAUCAACCUGCCUCUUCUGCGAGCUGUGCAGGGGUGGCUUUUACCUUUGUAAGCAUGUCCCAGCCCCGAAAGGCAAUGCUAGGACACCAGCGGUGACCACCAAACCUUCUUUGGUUUAAUAAAUCAAGGACUUGAAACAUCAGUCAGUCAGUCAAGGCCUUGAGGGCUGGUUCAGAGUAACUGUGGAACAAUGCUGUGACGCUAAGUCCAAAGAAUGAGGAUGAUGGAAAGGAGGACGAUGGUGGUGGGUCACUCCAGCCCCAUCAGCCUGACCUGCCCAGCAUGUCUUGAAGGCCCUCUUGCAGAAGGCGGAGGACAAGUUCUCUCUCUAGGAGCUGGGGUGAACUGCUAUCACUAACACAUCCUCUGAGCCUAAUCUGCUGCCAGCAUUCGGGCAUCUCAGUAGAGGGCCAGCUGAGUAUCCCGACUCAACCCCUUGAGAACUAAAGCUUCACUUUGCCUAGAAGGGGGGCGGGCAGGGAUUGACGAAAAUCAUUUGUUCCUAUGGUAUGCUCUAGAGAGUGCAAAGAUAGCUCCUCUCUUGGCCUCUUCUUGUCCCAGAUUUCCACAAUUAGAGAGUCAUUCCUUUAGGAUUUUGUCUCUUGGGGAAGGGCGAACCUUCUCUAAUCUUCCUGGUCUGGUGAGAUGUGCUCACUAGACGAAGGCAUCUCAAGGAAUUUGUCUUAUUUAGCAGUAUGCCCUUAAUGCUUAGCCUAGUCCUUUGCAUAUAAUAGCUACUCCAGAAACGUUCGUUCAUUAAAUGAACAGAUGCUUGAUAACUGCUGGCAGUUGGGGCUGGAGAGAGUGGUGGAGUGGGGGAGAGGGCCCUCGGCUAGGAGUCCUCUGGACAUGGCCGUCACUGCUUCACUCUGCAAGCAGGGCCAGGCAGGUCCUUCCCCAGGUCCUGGUUCUCCCAUGGGAACAGUGAGAGUCUAGAUAGCGGGUAUCAUCUGAUAAGACAUAAGGUUCCAGCCCCUGGGCAUUUUCUUUUUCCUUAAAAAGCCAGAUGCCUUCCUACCUUAGGGUCUUUGCGCCUACUAUGUCCAGUGCAUGAAUUACUUUCAUAAUUUUGUGUGGAGAUUUUCCUGGUGUAAGGCUUCCUCCUCUCAUCUCCUCAACCAGUUAUUGUGUAUCUGAGGCAGGAAUGAUUACAACUUGCAUCUUUUUCUGUCUACUUGACUUCGCCAUAUCUGAGUUUUCUGGAAGACGGCAGGUUCCUGGAGAGCAUGGGACUGUGCAAAUCCCAGGCACCCUACCCCAUAGCCAGCACAUAGUAAGUGCUCCUGAGUGAAUUUGUUGAACUGAAGCCGGAAGUCAGAGCCGAGGUUGUGUCCCUCCAAGGAAUAGCAGCAGGUGGCGCCACAGACCGGGAGGCGGCAAAGCGGACCGACGGGCAGGCCUCAGUGGGGCGGCCUCACCUGGCGGCAGCUGCACCUGCCCGCCCCGCACCCCGUGGAAACCGAGAACCCGGGCCCUGGCGUCACCUGGGCAAUUGGGAAAGCAGCGCCCGGAGCCAAGGGGAGGGGAGAUGAAAGGCGGGUGGCGGGUGUGGGCUGCCGGCAGCGCCAGGUGAGGGCCAGGAGCCCCACCCUUCGCUCCAGGACCAGUUACCUCCUGCUGCCUGCAUAUCGUGAUCACCCCAGCAAGUGGGCUUUGAAAGGGGAAGGAUGCCUGCAAUCUGGGCCAGAAAAAAAUUGCCAGGAGAGAAGCAUUGCUGCGGCUGAUUCAAGCGACUGACAGUUCCAUCAACGAACUUGUAAAACUCCUGACUCUUUAACCAGCGGCGUCCAGCCCACUCCUGGAUCGCCUUUCAGAUUGGACGGCAGGCUGCCACGCUGGUUACGACAAUUGCAAGAGCACCCUGGGCGUCCUUGGCCCUGCUGCUGCCCGAGUGCUACUUGACGAGCCCCGUCUGUGCAAUGGGUCUGGCCGGGCUGGGCUUCCUGGUCUCCAGCUCUGAGCUCUGCGCCUGUGGGAGGCCGAGACCCCAGCAUACAGCAGCUGGCAUCCUCCUGGCAGGACCCACUGGCAGUAGAAACUCGAGAAGGGAGCCAGCCCUGAGUGAGCCCCAUGGGCAGGGAUGCUGAGAUUCAUUUGAAGCAGCCCACAGGGAAGGGUGUCACUGAGGAAACAAAACCCAGACCCCCCAGGCCUCUGGCUGAGGGGUGGGAGCAUGCUGGGAAAGCACUUCCACCUGAGAAGCACAAAGGACCCCAGGAGGAGAGGAAGCUGGCCUGAGGCCAACCGGAGCUUUGUGCACUGAUUCCCUGAUCCUCCAGCCUGACAGAAAUGUUUGCAAAGGAGCCUUAUUUGAAUAGGCAGCAUACGGCAUGGAGUAAAACACUCAAGAUGGUGCUCAAUAGACUAUGAUGACCUUGGAAGGGCCUAGGCAUUAAGGCAGGAAACCCAAAGGGACAGCAAUCAGGAAGAGGAUUCCUUCCUUGCCUUCUCCCUUUCAAUGGAAGUGGGAUAAUUCAAUCAGUCCACAGACCUAAGGCCUCAUCAGCCAGCAAGGG